RNAcentral lists this ribosomal RNA (253 nucleotides) under uncultured bacterium. RNAcentral's name for it is "partial 16S ribosomal RNA". It matches the Rfam family "Bacterial small subunit ribosomal RNA", at positions 524 to 776 of the family's 1533-position model. The record is from RNAcentral.
UACGUAGGGUGCGAGCGUUGUCCGGAAUUAUUGGGCGUAAAGAGCUUGUAGGCGGUUUGUCGCGUCUGCCGUGAAAAUUCGAGGCUCAACCUCGAACUUGCGGUGGGUACGGGCAGACUAGAGUGCGGUAGGGGAGACUGGAAUUCCUGGUGUAGCGGUGAAAUGCGCAGAUAUCAGGAGGAACACCGGUGGCGAAGGCGGGUCUCUGGGCCGUAACUGACGCUGAGGAGCGAAAGCGUGGGGAGCGAACAGG